Molecule: long non-coding RNA, 673 nt
Organism: Pogoniulus pusillus (Red-fronted tinkerbird)
Lineage: Eukaryota; Metazoa; Chordata; Aves; Piciformes; Lybiidae
Exons: 4
Source: RefSeq, a predicted model, not a curated record
GGGGUUGUGCCCAUGGCACUGGCUAAGCCCAGGGGGUUAUACUCCUUCCCAUAGCACCCAGGGGAAGCUCCACUGCAUUAGUGUGUGUGGGAUUGUGCCCAACUAUUAACUGCCAAGCCCAGCCACUGCACGUCGAGGCAAGUCUGUUUUCUUGCAGGACAGAGUCAAAGCCAAGGACCAGAUUCCAGCACAUCGACCAGUACCUGACCAGCACCUGGGAGAGGGAGAACCAGAUACACAGGAGACAGAGGCAUCUCACCCAGGUGACCAGACGACAGCAUCAGGACCCAGAGAGCACAACCUCCAGCCAUGGACUCAGAGGAAGCUCUCAGGGACUGCCAGGACUAGGGAGAAUGGAGCAAAGCCAGAGAGGAUAGAUUCAGACUGGACAUGACGAGGAAGUUCUUCACCAUGAGAGUGGGUUCAUUCGCAUCGGACUUAACGCCGCCUGGAUCCACGACUGGACAGAGCCUGCAGCGUCAGAGGCUGACGCAGAGGAAUUCAGCAGGGAUUGUCGCUCCAUUGCUACUUCACCUCUGUUACUGAACACGGCCCUAAGCAUCCUCGUGAAGACUUCCCGACCGAGAUGGAACCUGUACACAAACCUUUACUGAGUUGUUUGCAGUUUGGGGAAAGAGCUUUUUGGGAAAAUAGAAAUACAGUUGUAUUAUAA